This is a long non-coding RNA of Mauremys mutica (yellowpond turtle), 964 nucleotides long. RefSeq lists it as uncharacterized. NCBI's taxonomy places the organism in Eukaryota, Metazoa, Chordata, Testudines, Geoemydidae. The transcript has 4 exons. The record is from RefSeq and is a predicted model, not a curated record.
CACUGAAUUACCACUGGAAAUGCAACUAAGAAUAACGACCUUCUUGGAAUACUGGAGUUAUCAAACAUUUGAAAGACAACUAGGUUAAAGUUCCAAUUUAAAAAAACCAACAAAACCCUGGAAGAUCUGAAAGUCUGGAAGAACUUGACCAGCAAUCAUCACAUCAGAGCCAAAUACAGAGAUCCAGACUAACACGGCUACCCCUCUGAAUCUUGAAAUUGAUAGUAAUUGUCUUUGAGCAUUCACGAAGGAGAAGUGAGGCCCCUGAGGACUGGAGAAAGGCAAACAUAAUACCCAUCUAUAGUAAGUCAAAGUGGCCUCCCUCUGAAUUGGAGAGCGAGGCACCUCUACAUGCCCUCUGGUGGGCGGAGCCGAAUAUGUCCCACCCUCAGCACAAGAAGUCCUGGGACAGGGCAGGGAGUAUAAAAGGCGAGCCCUGAAGCUCAGUUGGGGCUGGGCCACCGGAGGGAGCAGACGUCUCUUCCAGGGAGCAGAGAUCUUUGCAGGAUCCCAGAUUAACCCCCAAGUGGAGCCAUGCGCUGCAGUUAGAGGAGAAGGACAAGUAUCCUGAGGAGCUGCCAGGACCAUCAUCAGAUGAAUGUCCUGAAGAGUUAUGGGGACUGCUGGCAGCCGAGUAUCCUGAGGGGACAGAAGAUCUUUGGACUAUGGAGCCCUACACCCAGACUGUGGUAGGAAGUAGCCAAGGGGAACCAGACUUUAGUCCAGUUCUGCUGCUGUAGAGCGAGUCAGCGUGUUUUGGGAGGAUCCCCGCUGACCCAAGGGCAGACCCAUCUGCCACUGUUAAGGCCCUGGGCUGGAACCCGGUGGAGUAUGACUGUAAGUGUCUCAGCUGGAGGGCUGAGUCACUGAAAACCCAUCUGAAAAGAGAAACUGCCAGCAGAGAGCAUCACAAAAGCAGAGAGUGCAGGAACAUACCUGGCCAGUAGGAGGCACUUACAAGAGG